AUUCUCUUUCCCUCCUUUCCCUCCAGGGUGCCCAUGUGUCCUUAAGUUUUAAAUUCAGUUUUCAAUGGUCUUAAAAAAUGUGCCCGGAGAUGACUUCAGUGUUUCCGCUAUGUUGUGCAGCUGCUUAAUUGUUGCCACCGUGGCAAAAUCUGUUAAAAUUACAAAUAAAAUAAAAAAAACAUCAAAUGAUAGCCUACUCCUACUGAGGCGCAUUUUCAAGAUACCUGAGAACUCCACAUGAAGCCUAAGACUCUGUGUGCGUGUGAUGUGCGUGUGCCACUGCAAGUCGGACAUUGCCAGAUGAAUGAGCACAGGAAGUAAGAUAGGCUACAAAAUAGAUAGCCAAUUUGAAGCAUUGCUUGUAGCUUGGCUAGUUAGUGCACUCGUUAGCUAGCUAGUUAACUAUUUAGCUAUUAAAUGAUUUGUUCAAACAGUAAAGUGCAUUAUCUUCAUAAUCAGCUUUGUGCAGGUAUAUUUUUUAUUUCUCAGCUGUCUAUUUUACAACCCAGAUAUUGAUACACUCUAAAACUUAAGGAUUCAACUAGGGUUCUUCUAAGAUCCUCAAAGUUCUUUGAAGAACCUUAAGGUUCUUGGCACUGAAAAUUGCCCCCAAAAGGUCCUUCCAAGAACCCCAUAGGAGCUGGGGUUCAUCGAGGAACCUCCUUAGCUGGUGGGGGUUCUUGCAGGAACCUAACUGCCCAACUGAAACAUUUGGAUUUGAAUUUGAAAGGACAGCAGGCGCAGGCACUUAACUGAAACAUUUAAAGAUCUCUUCAAUUUAAGGUAUACAGACGAGGAGACAUACAAAGUUAUGCCAAUUGAUAUUGGUAUGUUAUGCAGAUCAGAUUUACCAUCCUCCUCCCUUCCCUCUUCAAUAAAUAUCCCAUAGGCCCAUAGGCCUCUACAUUAUGGACAAGACUUCAUCCUCCCUACACCUCUGAUGAAUGUAACAGGAAACCUGUUCAAUCAUGCACUGCAAAAUCGUUCUGACUAUGAAUACGGAGAACAUCAACACAUUAAAACAUCAACAGCCAGAGGAUAUACCCAUUAGACUUGGGGCUCUGCUGGGAGUUUACCUCAUGUUUGGAUUUUUGUAUUCUGCUUUGCCACUAAAAUCUAAAUAAAC
Molecule: long non-coding RNA, 1126 nt
Filed under: Salmo salar (Atlantic salmon)
Lineage: Eukaryota; Metazoa; Chordata; Actinopteri; Salmoniformes; Salmonidae
Description: lncRNA (ENSSSAG00000087632.1)
Source: RNAcentral